This 791-nucleotide ribosomal RNA is filed under the name Salmonella enterica subsp. enterica serovar Paratyphi B var. L(+) tartrate +. RNAcentral describes it as "partial 23S ribosomal RNA". It matches the Rfam family "Bacterial large subunit ribosomal RNA", at positions 400 to 1190 of the family's 2925-position model. The record is from RNAcentral. Lineage: Bacteria; Pseudomonadati; Pseudomonadota; Gammaproteobacteria; Enterobacterales; Enterobacteriaceae.
UGAGCUCGAUGAGUAGGGCGGGACACGUGGUAUCCUGUCUGAAUAUGGGGGGACCAUCCUCCAAGGCUAAAUACUCCUGACUGACCGAUAGUGAACCAGUACCGUGAGGGAAAGGCGAAAAGAACCCCGGCGAGGGGAGUGAAAAAGAACCUGAAACCGUGUACGUACAAGCAGUGGGAGCACAGGUUUACCUGUGUGACUGCGUACCUUUUGUAUAAUGGGUCAGCGACUUAUAUUCUGUAGCAAGGUUAACCGUAUAGGGGAGCCGGAGGGAAACCGAGUCUUAAUUGGGCGUUAAGUUGCAGGGUAUAGACCCGAAACCCGGUGAUCUAGCCAUGGGCAGGUUGAAGGUUGGGUAACACUAACUGGAGGACCGAACCGACUAAUGUUGAAAAAUUAGCGGAUGACCUGUGGCUGGGGGUGAAAGGCCAAUCAAACCGGGAGAUAGCUGGUUCUCCCCGAAAGCUAUUUAGGUAGCGCCUCGUGAAUUCAUCUCCGGGGGUAGAGCACUGUUUCGGCUAGGGGGCCAUCCCGGCUUACCAACCCGAUGCAAACUGCGAAUACCGGAGAAUGUUAUCACGGGAGACACACGGCGGGUGCUAACGUCCGUCGUGAAGAGGGAAACAACCCAGACCGCCAGCUAAGGUCCCAAAGUCAUGGUUAAGUGGGAAACGAUGUGGGAAGGCCCAGACAGCCAGGAUGUUGGCUUAGAAGCAGCCAUCAUUUAAAGAAAGCGUAAUAGCUCACUGGUCGAGUCGGCCUGCGCGGAAGAUGUAACGGGGCUAAACCAU